CACAGCUUGCAUGUCACACUUUCGGAAGAUAUUUCAUUGAAAUAUCUCCAUGUGUGACUUCUAUAUUUUUUACUGUCUCUGCUUCUACAUUCCAUAUCUCACAACUGCUGGUUCUUAGUGUAAUGGAAGGAUAGUUUGAGCUAUCUCAACUGCAGAGUACAGUCUUUGGUAGCCGUCUGGAUCUGCGACAUUUCAUUGCGCAUGUGCUGGGAUUAAAGGCGAACGUCUUCACCACUCCACAUAGCCCACACAUACAAAAGCAACAUUUGAAAAUAAUAAAUCAAGCAUUCUGCUUGACAAUAGCACGCAUUUUUAUUUUAAUUCUCACACGUACAUAAACGAGUCCAAUUUGAGCCCCCCAAUAAAAAAAAAAUCAUAACCGCACAAACGGAUCUAUCGGACCCGACUGCAAACCGCCAUUAGGAAAGACUGCUACCCCAACCCGAACCCUGUGGAAUUGAACCGACGGCCACAACCCGAGCUAACCAUCUUUGUCCCUCCUGCUGCGCAUUUUAAGCUCCACGUUUUGCACUACAAUUUGCUACUGUGCAAUCAAUAGACGUCUUACCGUGCAUUUCUCAAUGUGUUUUUUCAAGCUGGAAGUGCCUGUUCUAUGGCUAUCAUAGGCUAACACCCGCUUGCACUUUUUGCAUGCUGCGAAUCCAUCCACAUGUUGUUUGUCAGCGUUAACGAUUACUCCAAAAUGAUCCCAUACAUUUGAUUUAACUCGUGCCCUGUUUUUCACGAUUCUGAGCUCCCUAUUUUUUAUCUUUUGGGUCAAAUUCUGGUUUUCCGUGGUAUGCUUUUUGCUUUCCAUUUUGUCGGUCUUCUCUGGCUGUGCGGGUAGGGUUAUCCAGUGGGUAGUUUUCACUGUGUCAAUGCGCGCUGCAUGUGAUGUAAGCUGGCUGCAAACUACCGUAGCAGAGAAUAGUUUAGCUGUAGGCUUCUAUACGCUUUCUAGAAUGACAUUUACAAGCAAUACAACACCCGAUAAGAUGCAAUACACACACUUUACAGUGUUCAUUUGAGCACUUUUUUUGGUUGAUCUAGGGCUCUAUUAGCCCUUGACUCUCAGUUGCAUUAAAUUAGUCAUUGGACAAAGGCUAUUUUGUAGUUUUAAGAGCCCCGAUGCUCGGUCUGAACAGUUGUACUUGUGGUACAGUUUUGGAAGUAUAAGGACAUUAUCUUUAUCAGCUAGAAAGCAAAAAAGUUAAAUUGAUACACAUUUAUAGGGUUAGUGUUCCCGCACUGCCAUAUCUCCAUGUUACAGCGCUUUAACGGAGAACGGACGCGACCACCUGUACUAAUUAGCUAUCUAGCGCCUACUCUGGAAGUGCAGUUCGUUGGAUGGAGGCACCCAGACCUGUAUGGAUCUAUUCAAAUCUGCUACACUUGUACCACUGGGAGAGUUGCCCUGGCGUGGGCCUUAUUUGCAUCAAUGAUUUGUUGCCGCCAGAUUGGAGAACGGUUGCCGGGCAGAGAGGUGACUAGUGAAGGACUGGGGCAUGCUUCCCAGGCAACCACAGCAGCAGGAUUGUUUUGAUUAAAAAUCAGCUUUCCCAAGGCAAAGAAGGGGGAUAUGCUGUGAAACCUGUGAAGACAGACCCAACAUACUACAAUCAAAGGUACCAUCAUGUGGACCAACAGAAUUGUAACAGUGACACAGGCCUACAGUACAACAAGACCGGGCUACGGAGAAGGGCUCCUGGAUCUCCUCUUUAACGAGGUCACCCUUGAUCGAGCACCGCAUAUGUGGAAGCUGUGCUAGCUGUACGUCCCAGGACCCCUGUCGGCCCAGUGUGAGAGGCCUGCGCUGUACGUCCCAGGACCCCUGUCGGCCCAGUGUGAGAGGCCUGCGCUGUACGUCCCAGGACCCCUGUCGGCCCAGUGUGAGAGGCCUGCGCUGUACAUCCCAGGACCCCUGCCGGCCCAGUGUGAGAGGCCUGCGCUGUACGUCCCAGGACCCCUGUCGGCCCAGUGUGAGAGGCCUGCGCUGUACGUCCCAGGACCCCUGUCGGCCCAGUGUGAGAGGCCUGCGCUGUACAUCCCAGGACCCCUGCCGGCCCAGUGUGAGAGGCCUGCGCUGUACGUCCCAGGACCCCUGUCGGUCCAGUGUGAGAGGCCUGCGCUGUACGUCCCAGGACCCCUGUCGGCCCAGUGUGAGAGGCCUGCGCUGUACGUCCCAGGACCCCUGUCGGCCCAGUGUGAGAGGCCUGCGCUGUACAUCCCAGGACCCCUGCCGGCCCAGUGUGAGAGGCCUGCGCUGUACGUCCCAGGACCCCUGUCGGCCCAGUGUGAGAGGCCUGCGCUGUACGUCCCAGGACCCCUGUCGGCCCAGUGUGAGAGGCCUGCGCUGUACAUCCCAGGACCCCUGCCGGCCCAGUGUGAGAGGCCUGCGCUGUACGUCCCAGGACCCCUGUCGGUCCAGUGUGAGAGGCCUGCGCUGUACGUCCCAGGACCCCUGUCGGCCCAGUGUGAGAGGCCUGCGCUGUACGUCCCAGGACCCCUGUCGGCCCAGUGUGAGAGGCCUGCGCUGUACGUCCCAGGACCCCUGCCGGCCCAGUGUGAGAG
Molecule: long non-coding RNA, 2571 nt
Filed under: Salmo salar (Atlantic salmon)
Lineage: Eukaryota; Metazoa; Chordata; Actinopteri; Salmoniformes; Salmonidae
Description: lncRNA (ENSSSAG00000099601.1)
Source: RNAcentral